This 331-nucleotide ribosomal RNA is filed under the name uncultured bacterium. Its description in RNAcentral is "bacterial SSU rRNA". It matches the Rfam family "Bacterial small subunit ribosomal RNA", at positions 568 to 898 of the family's 1533-position model. The record is from RNAcentral.
CACGUAGGCGGAUUGCUAAGUCAGGGGUGAAAUCCUGGAGCCCAACUCCAGAACUGCCUUUGAUACUGGCGAUCUCGAGUCCGGGAGAGGUGAGUGGAACUGCGAGUGUAGAGGUGAAAUUCGUAGAUAUUCGCAAGAACACCAGUGGCGAAGGCGGCUCACUGGCCCGGUACUGACGCUGAGGUGCGAAAGCGUGGGGAGCGAAACAGGAUUAGAUACCCUGGUAGUCCACGCCGUAAACGAUGGAUGCUAGCCGUUGGUGGGUUUACCCUUCAGUGGCGCAGCUAACGCAUUAAGCAUCCCGCCUGGGGAGUACGGUCGCAAGAUUAAA